RNAcentral lists this ribosomal RNA (497 nucleotides) under uncultured bacterium. RNAcentral describes it as "partial 16S ribosomal RNA". It matches the Rfam family "Bacterial small subunit ribosomal RNA", at positions 28 to 507 of the family's 1533-position model. The record is from RNAcentral.
GAUGAACGCUGGCGGCGUGCCUAAUACAUGCAAGUCGAGCGAACGGACGAGAAGCUUGCUUCUCUGAUGUUAGCGGCUGACGGGUGAGUAACACGUGGAUAACCUACCUAUAAGACUGGGAUAACUUCGGGAAACCGGAUCUAAUACCGGAUAAUAUUUUGAACCGCAUGGUUCAAAAGUGAAAGACGGUCUUGCUGUCACUUAUAUAUGGAUCCGCGCUGCAUUAGCUAGUUGGUAAGGUAACGGCUUACCAAGGCAACGAUGCAUAGCCGACCUGAGAGGGUGAUCGGCCACACUGGAACUGAGACACGGUCCAGACUCCUACGGGAGGCAGCAGUAGGGAAUCUUCCGCAAUGGGCGAAAGCCUGACGGAGCAACGCCGCGUGAGUGAUGAAGGUCUUCGGAUCGUAAAACUCUGUUAUUAGGGAAGAAAAUAUGUGUAAGUAACUGUGCACAUCUUGACGGUACCUAAUCAGAAAGCAACGGCUAACUACGUG